CAGCAGCCGCGGGAAUACAGAGGGUGCAAGCGUUAAUCGGAAUUACUGGGCGUAAAGCGCGCGUAGGUGGUUUGUUAAGUUGGAUGUGAAAGCCCCGGGCUCAACCUGGGAACUGCAUCCAAAACUGGCAAGCUAGAGUACGGUAGAGGGUGGUGGAAUUUCCUGUGUAGCGGUGAAAUGCGUAGAUAUAGGAAGGAACACCAGUGGCGAAGGCGACCACCUGGACUGAUACUGACACUGAGGUGCGAAAGCGUGGGGAGCAAACAGGAUUAGAUACCCCGGUAGUCCCUGUCUCUUAUAC
This 301-nucleotide ribosomal RNA is filed under the name uncultured bacterium. RNAcentral describes it as "partial 16S ribosomal RNA". It matches the Rfam family "Bacterial small subunit ribosomal RNA", at positions 509 to 807 of the family's 1533-position model. The record is from RNAcentral.